CCCUGGUGUGUCCUCUGACUAAGUAGUUCUUCCCGUACUGCAUCGCUGCCCAGAAUAUUCUGAAGACAGCCUCCCACCCCACCCCACCUCAUCAUGCUCUUCCAGGACAGCUACAGGAAGAAAAGGAGAUAACAGAAUCUAAUGAUGUCCCAUAAGAUCUCCAGUCAAGGUGUGAACAUGAAGCUCCAAGUAUCUGCCUGGAAACCCUGUUGCCUGGAGACCACUCUUGAAGAACAUCCACUGCUGUGGCCUCUUAAAGAUUUAAGACAUCUAAUGAACAGCUGACAGAAAUCAUCAAUUUGCUCCUCAGGACAUGGAUCGACCUGGAAGCCAUUAUCCUCAGCAAACUGAUGCAGGAACAGAAAACCAAACACUGCGCGUUCUCACUUGUAAGUGGGACCUGAACAAUGAGAACACAUGAACACAAGGAGGGGAACAACACAUACUGGGUCCCGUCAGGGGGUGCGGAGGGAGGGAGAGCAUCACGAUAAAUAGCUAAUGCAUGCGGGGCUUACUACCUAGGUGAUGGGUUGAUAGGUUCAGCAAACCACCAUGGUACAUGUUUACCUGUUUAUCUAUGUAACAAACCUGCACAUCCUGCACAUGUAUCUUGGAACUUAAAAUAAAAUAAAAUUAAAAACUUUUAAAAGAGAAUAAAGUAGGGAGAUGAAUUAAGAGGCACUAAUCCAGGUGAAACAGUUUUAAGAGAUUAAAUCAGCAUCCUUGGUUUCCCCAUCAAAUAACCCAUCAUGCUAACCAGCCCAGACUGAUAUUGCUUUACAUGUAUACGAAAGACAUCUGGUUAAAUCAAAUAGCACUGCCAAUCAAUUUUCACCUAGAGAUAUGCUCAGGUAUUUUCUUAGUUCUUACAUUUUGUAAAUAGGUGGUAUGCUGAAUGGACAUCAAAUUCAAUAACAAAUUCCCAUAAGAAACAUCAG
RNAcentral lists this long non-coding RNA (938 nucleotides) under Homo sapiens (human). RNAcentral's name for it is "HSALNT0272192". Lineage: Eukaryota; Metazoa; Chordata; Mammalia; Primates; Hominidae. The record is from RNAcentral.